RNAcentral lists this ribosomal RNA (270 nucleotides) under uncultured bacterium. RNAcentral's name for it is "partial 16S ribosomal RNA". It matches the Rfam family "Bacterial small subunit ribosomal RNA", at positions 524 to 793 of the family's 1533-position model. The record is from RNAcentral.
UACGUAGGUCCCGAGCGUUAUCCGGAAUUAUUGGGCGUAAAGAGCAUGUAGGCGGUCUAUUAAGUCUGGUGUGAAAUCUAGUGGCUCAACCACUAAAUUGCAUUGGAAACUGAUGGACUAGAAUACUGGAGGGGCAAGUGGAAUUCCAUGUGUAGCGGUGGAAUGCGUAGAUAUAUGGAGGAACACCAAUGGCGAAGGCAGCUUGCUGGACAGUAAUUGACGCUGAGAUGCGAAAGCGUGGGUAGCAAACAGGAUUAGAUACCCUGGUAG